This 1530-nucleotide ribosomal RNA is filed under the name Salmonella enterica. Its description in RNAcentral is "bacterial SSU rRNA". It matches the Rfam family "Bacterial small subunit ribosomal RNA". The record is from RNAcentral. Lineage: Bacteria; Pseudomonadati; Pseudomonadota; Gammaproteobacteria; Enterobacterales; Enterobacteriaceae.
AGAGUUUGAUCAUGGCUCAGAUUGAACGCUGGCGGCAGGCCUAACACAUGCAAGUCGAACGGUAACAGGAAGCAGCUUGCUGCUUUGCUGACGAGUGGCGGACGGGUGAGUAAUGUCUGGGAAACUGCCUGAUGGAGGGGGAUAACUACUGGAAACGGUGGCUAAUACCGCAUAACGUCGCAAGACCAAAGAGGGGGACCUUCGGGCCUCUUGCCAUCAGAUGUGCCCAGAUGGGAUUAGCUAGUUGGUGAGGUAACGGCUCACCAAGGCGACGAUCCCUAGCUGGUCUGAGAGGAUGACCAGCCACACUGGAACUGAGACACGGUCCAGACUCCUACGGGAGGCAGCAGUGGGGAAUAUUGCACAAUGGGCGCAAGCCUGAUGCAGCCAUGCCGCGUGUAUGAAGAAGGCCUUCGGGUUGUAAAGUACUUUCAGCGGGGAGGAAGGUGUUGUGGUUAAUAACCGCAGCAAUUGACGUUACCCGCAGAAGAAGCACCGGCUAACUCCGUGCCAGCAGCCGCGGUAAUACGGAGGGUGCAAGCGUUAAUCGGAAUUACUGGGCGUAAAGCGCACGCAGGCGGUCUGUCAAGUCGGAUGUGAAAUCCCCGGGCUCAACCUGGGAACUGCAUUUGAAACUGGCAGGCUUGAGUCUUGUAGAGGGGGGUAGAAUUCCAGGUGUAGCGGUGAAAUGCGUAGAGAUCUGGAGGAAUACCGGUGGCGAAGGCGGCCCCCUGGACAAAGACUGACGCUCAGGUGCGAAAGCGUGGGGAGCAAACAGGAUUAGAUACCCUGGUAGUCCACGCCGUAAACGAUGUCUACUUGGAGGUUGUGCCCUUGAGGCGUGGCUUCCGGAGCUAACGCGUUAAGUAGACCGCCUGGGGAGUACGGCCGCAAGGUUAAAACUCAAAUGAAUUGACGGGGGCCCGCACAAGCGGUGGAGCAUGUGGUUUAAUUCGAUGCAACGCGAAGAACCUUACCUGGUCUUGACAUCCACGGAAGUUUUCAGAGAUGAGAAUGUGCCUUCGGGAACCGUGAGACAGGUGCUGCAUGGCUGUCGUCAGCUCGUGUUGUGAAAUGUUGGGUUAAGUCCCGCAACGAGCGCAACCCUUAUCCUUUGUUGCCAGCGGUCCGGCCGGGAACUCAAAGGAGACUGCCAGUGAUAAACUGGAGGAAGGUGGGGAUGACGUCAAGUCAUCAUGGCCCUUACGACCAGGGCUACACACGUGCUACAAUGGCGCAUACAAAGAGAAGCGACCUCGCGAGAGCAAGCGGACCUCAUAAAGUGCGUCGUAGUCCGGAUUGGAGUCUGCAACUCGACUCCAUGAAGUCGGAAUCGCUAGUAAUCGUGGAUCAGAAUGCCACGGUGAAUACGUUCCCGGGCCUUGUACACACCGCCCGUCACACCAUGGGAGUGGGUUGCAAAAGAAGUAGGUAGCUUAACCUUCGGGAGGGCGCUUACCACUUUGUGAUUCAUGACUGGGGUGAAGUCGUAACAAGGUAACCGUAGGGGAACCUGCGGUUGGAUCACCU